AAUUUAUAAUAAGAUAUAAUUAUAACCAAUACUCUGACAUACUUUCAGUUUAUAUUCAAUACUUUAUGAGUCAUUCGUAUAGGCGUACAUCAUUCUCUGAUGCACUGUAGAAUGUUGCUCUUUACAUAAAGCGAUAAUAGAAACAGAUAAAGAUGAGCUAUUACAGAUGCUUUGCCACUAUCUAAGCGUUAUUAAAAGUAUAUUUUGUCUUUGUUUAAAUUAAAAUUUCUUUAACAAAGGAAAAUUUUUGGCUCUUAAACAUGAAUGAUAAAACCUCAGAAGAUGUUCUAAUUUUCAAAUUUAAAUUUUUCAUAAAUGAAUUACACACUCACCAAAUAAAAAUUAGUCUUUAGUAACUGUGGUUGAAUUUUUCUUGCAAUACUGAAUGUUCUUCUUAAUGAGAUUGUUAGAAGCAUGAUGGAUGUUUAGUCUUUGUCAAUUUAGAUAGUUCUUCUGACUUUUCUCUCCAGAAAAUGAAAUUUUUUUACUGAUGGUGCUUGAACGGCCUUAUUUCUAUCAGCCUACUUCCUUAAGUUAAACCGAUAUCGGCUAAUUCAUAAUAUAUCUCGAUUAUCUUAUUUUUCCUUGUAAAAACCGGCAAUUGGUUCGACGAUUAGGACACGUGACAUCAGCUGAUCGAUAGUAGCGCCCUCUGUUACAAACUGGACAUUGUAUGGAAAUCAGAAUUUAGUUCAUUGAACUAUGUUUGUAAUUUCUUUUGUUCUGAUUUAAGAUUUAGUUUAGUAGUAAAAUAACUCUAUUGUAACUUUAUUUUUAUCGAAAAGAUAAAAAAUUUCAAAUAUUUUCUUCGCAAGAUAAUACUUUUUAGAUAUUCUUGAUAUUUAUUUUCUUUUUUUGACUUUUCGUAAAUUUCCCCAAUUAUCACUCAAGAACACGAUGUUUCGCAUCUUCACUCAUCGAACCUUGGUUACCAAUACCACAUUACCUAGAAUUACAGUUCCUGUGAAAAUGCAGUAUAAACUGCAGAAAUCACAACAAAAACAAGAUGUAAAACGAUAUAGAGAACAUGAAACAAAUCAUCCAAAGGGUCAACCUAUUAUAACUUGUAAACGGAAACAAUUCAACCAUUACUAUGGGACAAGAUACCGACCUCUGAGCAUUAAAUGUCUAGCGUCUGCAGGUUGGAAACAUAAGAAAUCGUCCAGUGAUCAUUUUACUUUAAAUCCUUUUAGUUCUAAUCCUUCAUUUAACAAUGAUAGAACAUUUACCGAUUUGGAAAUAUUACCUGAUUUAGUGGAAACGUUAAAAGAUAUGAAUAUAAAGGAUCCAACAGCUGUACAAGCUAAGAUUAUACCCUAUUUUCUGAACGGGAAAAACGUGUUGUGUUCAGCAGAGACAGGAAGUGGGAAAACUUUAGCCUAUCUAAUUCCAAUAGUUCAAAACUUAUUAUACUCUCAAUACCAAAAAAGUGGAGAGACAAUACCUAAUCAACCUUCAGCAGUUAUCUUGGUUCCCAAUAGAGAAUUAGCUGAACAAGUUUAUAACGUUGCUUGUGAUCUGUGCAAACAUUCUGAUAUAAGGCCUCAUUACUUUGUUGGCGGUCGGAGUACAAAGAGAUUUAUAAACAAUCCAGAAUUAAAGAAAAUGGACAUAUUAAUUUCAACACCUGGAUCGCUAAGUAAAUUAUUGACUAACAAAAUAUAUAAUACAGAUAUGGUAAAGUAUGUAAUAAUCGAUGAAUGCGAUACCAUGAUGGAUGACAGCUUCAUGCAUUUAACAUCCCGAGUAUUAAGGAAGUUAAAUGUAGAAUCAUCUCUUCAUGAUGGAUUAGAAUUAGGUACUCAAAUAGGAUUGUUUAGUGCAACAAUACCUAAAGAUGUAAUUUCUACUCUACGUGGGCUAGUUGAUUUAGAAUCCCUUGAACGAAUACAAACUCCUGCAGUUCAUAAGUUGAUGCCACAUAUAUCACAGAAAUUUGAGAGAGUAAAGUCAUCAGAAAAAGAUGGUCUCUUAUUGAAAAGAUUACAUCAUAACGUUUUAAAAAGUACAGCCACUAUGGUAUUUUGUAAUACAUCAUCUACUUCUAGUUAUUUGAGCUAUCUAUUGGCCGAAAACAACAUUGCACACGAAAUGGUCAACGGUAAAAUGCCUCAACGUGUUCGAGAGGGACGUUAUAAUAGAUUUCAAAUGGGAGAAGUUGAGGUUUUAAUAGGAACGGAUAUACUUUCUCGCGGAUUGGAUACUUGCAGAACGCAACACGUAAUUAACUACAACUUUCCAAGUUUUCUGUCUGACUACAUUCAUCGAGCUGGAAGAGUAGGACGAAUUCAGAGCCAGGGAACAGGAUUUGUUCUUAACUACAUAUCGAAUAUUUGGGAAGUAGAUUUGGUGUGGAAGAUUGAAUUGGCAGCCCGAAAGGUUGGAAUAUUGGACAAUGUCGAUGCAAAUAUUAGAAAGCAGCUAAACAAAAUUAAUACUAAAGAAUCCUCAUUCAUAUGACCUUUAGCACAAACAACGAAGAAGCAAA
This 2488-nucleotide unclassified non-coding RNA is filed under the name Dimorphilus gyrociliatus. RNAcentral's name for it is "rNA helicase". The record is from RNAcentral. Lineage: Eukaryota; Metazoa; Annelida; Polychaeta; Dinophilidae.